GGUCUCGAGACGCAGUCAGGCUCAAGGGUCGAUACUGCGGAUUGGGACCAUCCUCGAGAAGAACAUGUCUGUCAUUGAGUUGAUGGGCAUGGGACUCUCGUCUUUUACUGUGAGCAAAAUAGAGUGUUCAAAGCAGGCUUACGCCGUUGAAUACAUUAGCAUGGAAUAAUAAGAUAGGACCUUGGUCUAUUUUGUUGGUUAUACUCCAAGGUA
RNAcentral lists this ribosomal RNA (213 nucleotides) under uncultured fungus. RNAcentral's name for it is "partial small subunit ribosomal RNA". Lineage: Eukaryota; Fungi. The record is from RNAcentral.